Zalophus californianus (California sea lion) is the source of this 366-nucleotide long non-coding RNA. RefSeq lists it as uncharacterized. Lineage: Eukaryota; Metazoa; Chordata; Mammalia; Carnivora; Otariidae. The record is from RefSeq and is a predicted model, not a curated record. The transcript is spliced from 4 exons.
CUUGAUUGUAUUUUUCAGCAUGAAAUCCUUCCCAUCUUCUUCCCUUGAAAACGGCCAAGCUUGCAAAACUGGACUCGUUAAACACAGAGUAACUCCCAAAAGGCUUUGCAAAGGAGUCUAAUUCAUCCAGUAAAAUGGAACUAACCUCUGUGCAACUGGAACACUUCACCGAAACUAUGAUAGAGAACAUUUCAGCUUCCCAAGCAAGGACUGUUACUUCGGACUCCACUGGACUAACGAGCAUGGUGGGACAGAAUCUCUGCCGUGUUUACUGUGUGCCCAACACAGAGCAUAAGGCACCGUUGGAGAGAGAGAGUACAAGCAGGGGGAGCAGCAGGCAGAGGGAGAAGCAGGCUCUCCGCUGAG